GGGGGGGGGGGGGGGGGGGGGGGGGGGGGGGGGGGGGGGGGGGGGGGGGGGGUGGGGGGUGGGGGCAGCGGCGGGGGGGGGGGUAGUGCCUGGGGGUCUGCCGGGUCGUGGGGGAUGACGUCCGGAGACGGGCGCUAAUACCGCAUGCGUCCUGGGGGAGAAAGUGGGGGAUCUUCGGACCUCACGCUAUCCGAUGAGCCUAGGUCGGAUUAGCUAGUUGGUGGGGUAAAGGCCUACCAAGGCGACGAUCCGUAACUGGUCUGAGAGGAUGAUCAGUCACACUGGAACUGAGACACGGUCCAGACUCCUACGGGAGGCAGCAGUGGGGAAUAUUGGAAAAUGGGCGAAAGCCUGAUCCAGCCAUGCCGCGUGUGUGAAGAAGGUCUUCGGAUUGUAAAGCACUUUAAGUUGGGAGGAAGGGCAGUAAGUUAAUACCUUGCUGUUUUGACGUUACCAACAGAAUAAGCACCGGCUAACUUCGUG
RNAcentral lists this ribosomal RNA (483 nucleotides) under uncultured bacterium. Its description in RNAcentral is "partial 16S ribosomal RNA". The stretch from base 52 to 483 matches the Rfam family "Bacterial small subunit ribosomal RNA", at positions 39 to 507 of the family's 1533-position model. The record is from RNAcentral.